CUCAGAAACCAAGACAUCUAAUCCAUCAGAGCCUAAGAUUUCAGAGGAAGGAAGCAUAAAUUCCUCACAGGUGACUGGCAGUGGUGGUGAGAAAGGCCAUUCUUCUUUCAUCAAUGAGCUUUUAGCAUCACAAGUAGAAACAUAUUCACCAACAGGAAGUCCUGGAACACAGCCAGUGCAACAGCAGUGAAGUUAUUCUUUGCUACAAUACUGCUCCACUGGACUAAACAAGUAUAAAAAAUGGAUGACAGCAGGAGGACACCUGGCCAGCUGUUGUAUGGUGAGCUGAACUGAGGAGAUCUCAAAUAGGGCAGGCUGAAGGAACAUGCCACAGACACAUUGAAGAACAAUUUCAAGUAAUGGAAGCAUGGCUGCAGAAGACUGGGAAAUAAUAUCAGGAGGAAGACUGACCCAAUGUGGAGCAAUUGGAGCAGCAAAGGUGUGCAGCCAGGUGAAGCUGCAGCAUUUCAGCUUGCAACAGCUUUUGUAAAGAGCAGUCCCUCUCCCAAUCAAAGAGCCCCAUCCACCUGUAUUAUCUGAGUAAACAUGGCAGAUUUCUUACCAUA
Molecule: long non-coding RNA, 566 nt
Organism: Homo sapiens (human)
Lineage: Eukaryota; Metazoa; Chordata; Mammalia; Primates; Hominidae
Exons: 2
Source: RefSeq, a predicted model, not a curated record